GGGGAACAGAUGAGCAGGGCCCACUAAAACUUUUGCACAUAUGGGUGAAAAUGGGAUGACAAUACUUAUUUAUCCAUACUAUUCUACUUUAAAUAACUCAUUAAAAUGCUAAGGAUACAGUAUACACAUAAUCUGAACAUAAAAACCUAACUUGCACCUUUUACUCCUUUUCUUCCCAUUCAAACAAGAGGGGUGAAACUAAUUUACACCCUCUCUUGUUCUCUCCCUCCAUUUUCACCCCUGCACUUCUCUUUCCUCAAACAUAGUUUUAGGUAUGUUAUUUGUCAAAUUUUUUAAUUUCAUGCUGGUGAAUACCUAAAUAUUAUGUGGUUUGAACAGCAUCACUAUCUUUUGGGAAAUCAGUAUAUGCUCACAUGUGAAAGAACAUUUUUGUUUCUAAAAUGCAAUCAUGAUUGUAGUGUAAAAGUCAUUUUCUCUCUCACCCUCUCUGUGAUUUCAAUAGUAGUUUAUUUUUUAUAAGUCGUACCUGAAUGAACUCACUUCCAUUGUAAGUUCAUUGAGAUUUAGUUGAGCUGGUUUGGUUUUUAAUGAACUUGCUGCUAUAGUAAAUUAAUAUGACUGCCUGACUUAUUUUCUUUAUUCUGGCUCCUUUUUUGGUGCCCUUAAACAGUUAGCAGAUGCAAG
RNAcentral lists this unclassified non-coding RNA (645 nucleotides) under Hevea brasiliensis (rubber tree). The record is from RNAcentral. Lineage: Eukaryota; Viridiplantae; Streptophyta; Magnoliopsida; Malpighiales; Euphorbiaceae.